RNAcentral lists this ribosomal RNA (478 nucleotides) under uncultured bacterium. RNAcentral describes it as "partial 16S ribosomal RNA". It matches the Rfam family "Bacterial small subunit ribosomal RNA", at positions 28 to 523 of the family's 1533-position model. The record is from RNAcentral.
GAUGAACGCUGACAGAAUGCUUAACACAUGCAAGUCUACUUGAUUCUACUUCGGUAGUUGAUGGUGGCGGGCGGGUGAGUAACGCGUAAAGAAUCUGCCCUUUAGUUUGGGAUAACCUUUGGAAACGAAGGCUAAUACCGGAUAUUAUGGAGACGUCGCAUGACGACUCCAUGAAAGCUAUAUGCGCUAGAGGAGGACUUUGCGUCCCAUUAGUUAGUUGGUGAGGUAAUGGCUCACCAAGACCGCGAUGGGUAGCCGGCCUGAGAGGGUGAUCGGCCACAAGGUAACUGAGACACCGUCCUGACUCCUACGGGAGGCAGCAGUGGGGAAUAUUGGACAAUGGGCCACAAGACUGAUCCAGCAAUUCUGUGUGCACGAUGAAGGUCUUCGGAUUGUAAAGUGCUUUCAGUAGGGAAGAAAAAAAUGACGGUACCUACAGAAGAAGCGACGGCUAAAUAUGUGCCAGCCGCCGCCGUAA